This is an RNA transcript of Olea europaea var. sylvestris, 1227 nucleotides long. RefSeq lists it as uncharacterized. The transcript is spliced from 6 exons. NCBI's taxonomy places the organism in Eukaryota, Viridiplantae, Streptophyta, Magnoliopsida, Lamiales, Oleaceae. The record is from RefSeq and is a predicted model, not a curated record.
UCUCUAUCUUUUUUUAUUUUUUAUUUUUUUUGCAUAUUUCAUAUUUCAUUUGUGUUUUAGGAAAACUUGGUGGAAAUUUUGUGCAUCUUUUGUAAGGUAGAUUGGAUGGAUAGUGUUAAGAAAGAAAAAUAGUUUAUAAUGUUGUUUAUGUGCAGGAGAUGCGGAGAAUAAAUUUUUUUUUUUUAAACAAAAAGCAAAAAAAUAAAAUAAAGUAAUAAUGGGAGCAGUGCCCACACCGAGCGCGCACGGAGCAUAUUGCUCCGUGCAGACAUGGAGUUGCUUCGUGUCGCACGGAGCAUGCAACCCUCACCUCCACUCCAGCUGUUCUCCAUUUUCACACCUUCACAGCUUCGCUUCUCCCUCCCUCUCUAGAAGAAUAAACUUGUAAACACAGGACACAAUAACCCAUAAACAUUGCAAUUUUGUUAACUAUUAUUCAAUUGGUUUGGUUGAUUGAAUAAUUGUGGUCCGUCAAUGGCAUUGCAAAUUGUAAGGCGACUCGCUUGUAGCCUCCCCAAACCUUAGCCUUUUCAGUCAGCACUUCUCCUCCGAAUCCAAUCUAAUUCGCGGUAUUCUCUUCUCCAGUGAUGGUAUCAGUCUUGAAAUCACUGAAUCCGUCAAACAGAUUUCCAUUUUUUACUGGUAUUAGAGUGGUUGAGUACAAUCCUGGCUGUCGACUGUGGCUAUCAAGAAUGUGACUAUAAAUGAUAAUUUCCUCCCCCAUUUUCCUGAGAGGCUAAUUAUGCCAGGUGUGCUCGUGGUUGAGGAAGCCUGGAAAGGUAAAGCUAGACAACAUCCUACCUAGAGCAAAGGAUUCAAUAUGCAAGAUGUUAUAGGUUUUUGUAUUUAUAAGUGUUGGAUCGUUCUUCCUGCUAAAGGCAAUCUGCAACAUUAACUAGGGACCAUCUUAUAAUGCUCAUUGGGUUCAUGAUACCCCUGUCCUUUCUAAUGUUUAAGCCAAGCUGAGGCAGCUCCUAAUUGAUCUUGGAAAUGAUGAUAAAAUACUUGGAAUCUAGCCAAGGAAAGCGGAAGAGAAGAAGCAGCGAGUAUUAAGUUGUGAAAUACAGCGUGUUUGAGCCCUUCUGAUGGCUUCAAAUCGACCACACUAAAUUAGGUUAUCCGGUAAGGGAAUUACAAUUACAGGCUCAAUUUUGAGGUCAAUGCUUUCUUGCAAAUUUGUUCUUGACAUGGAUGAGUAAAACAUAUGGAGCGGACCUUUAUUUUUAA